UACAGGGGGUGCAAACGUUGCUCGGAAUCAUUGGGCGUAAAGCGCACGUAGGCGGUUCGUUAUGUCGGAUGUGAAAGCCCUUGGCUUAACCGAGGAAGUGCAUCCGAAACUGGCGAGCUAGAGUACGAAAGAGGAUCGCGGAAUUCCCGGUGUAGAGGUGAAAUUCGUAGAUAUUGGGAGGAACACCGGUGGCGAAGGCGGCCAUCUGGGCUACAACUGACGCUGAGGCGCGAAAGCGUGGGGAGCAAACAGG
Molecule: ribosomal RNA, 253 nt
Filed under: uncultured bacterium
Lineage: Bacteria
Description: partial 16S ribosomal RNA
Rfam family: Bacterial small subunit ribosomal RNA
Source: RNAcentral